Molecule: transfer RNA, 77 nt
Filed under: Acidobacteriota bacterium
Lineage: Bacteria; Pseudomonadati; Acidobacteriota
Also listed under: 1 other name
Description: tRNA-Arg
Rfam family: tRNA
About the family: Transfer RNA (tRNA) molecules are approximately 80 nucleotides in length. Their secondary structure includes four short double-helical elements and three loops (D, anti-codon, and T loops). Further hydrogen bonds mediate the characteristic L-shaped molecular structure. tRNAs have two regions of fundamental functional importance: the anti-codon, which is responsible for specific mRNA codon recognition, and the 3' end, to which the tRNAs corresponding amino acid is attached (by aminoacyl-tRNA synthetases). tRNAs cope with the degeneracy of the genetic code in two manners: having more than one tRNA (with a specific anti-codon) for a particular amino acid; and 'wobble' base-pairing, i.e. permitting non-standard base-pairing at the 3rd anti-codon position.
Source: RNAcentral
GUGCCCAUAGCUCAACCGGAUAGAGCGUUUGGCUACGAACCAAAAGGUUGGGGGUUCGAGUCCCUCUGGGCACACCA